AUUGAACGCUGGCGGCAGGCCUAACACAUGCAAGUCGAACGGUAACAGGAAACAGCUUGCUGUUUCGCUGACGAGUGGCGGACGGGUGAGUAAUGUCUGGGAAACUGCCUGAUGGAGGGGGAUAACUACUGGAAACGGUAGCUAAUACCGCAUAACGUCGCAAGACCAAAGAGGGGGACCUUCGGGCCUCUUGCCAUCGGAUGUGCCCAGAUGGGAUUAGCUAGUAGGUGGGGUAACGGCUCACCUAGGCGACGAUCCCUAGCUGGUCUGAGAGGGUGACCAGCCACACUGGAACUGAGACACGGUCCAGACUCCUACGGGAGGCAGCAGUGGGGAAUAUUGCACAAUGGGCGCAAGCCCGAUGCAGCCAUGCCGCGUGUAUGAAGAAGGCCUUCGGGUUGUAAAGUACUUUCAGCGGGGAGGAAGGGAGUAAAGUUAAUACCUUUACUCAUUGACGUUACCCGCAGAAGAAGCACCGGCUAACUCCGUG
Molecule: ribosomal RNA, 490 nt
Filed under: uncultured bacterium
Lineage: Bacteria
Description: partial 16S ribosomal RNA
Rfam family: Bacterial small subunit ribosomal RNA
Source: RNAcentral